This 92-nucleotide non-coding RNA is filed under the name human gut metagenome. RNAcentral describes it as "NiCo riboswitch". It matches the Rfam family "NiCo (Nickel/Cobalt) riboswitch aptamer". The record is from RNAcentral.
ACAGUACAAACUGAGCAGGCGAUGAUCCAAGGUAGGAUCAUGGGGCCGGGCCGUUACUACGGCAGCAGAUGAUAGCUCAUCUGUGGGACAGU